GACGAACGCUGGCGGCGUGCUUAACACAUGCAAGUCGAACGGAAAGGCCCUGCUUUUGUGGGGUGCUCGAGUGGCGAACGGGUGAGUAACACGUGAGUAACCUGCCCUUGACUUUGGGAUAACUUCAGGAAACUGGGGCUAAUACCGGAUAGGAGCUCCUGCUGCAUGGUGGGGGUUGGAAAGUUUCGGCGGUAGGGGAUGGACUCGCGGCUUAUCAGCUUGUUGGUGGGGUAGUGGCUUACCAAGGCUUUGACGGGUAGCCGGCCUGAGAGGGUGACCGGCGACAUUGGGACUGAGAUACGGCCCAGACUCCUACGGGAGGCAGCAGUGGGGAAUAUUGCACAAUGGGCGGAAGCCUGAUGCAGCAACGCCGCGUGCGGGAUGACGGCCUUCGGGUUGUAAACCGCUUUCGCCUGUGACGAAGCGUGAGUGACGGUAAUGGGUAAAGAAGCGCCGGCUAACUACGUG
This 468-nucleotide ribosomal RNA is filed under the name uncultured bacterium. RNAcentral describes it as "partial 16S ribosomal RNA". It matches the Rfam family "Bacterial small subunit ribosomal RNA", at positions 28 to 507 of the family's 1533-position model. The record is from RNAcentral.